GAUGAACGCUGGCGGCGUGCCUAAUACAUGCAAGUCGAGCGAACGGACGAGAAGCUUGCUUCUCUGAUGUUAGCGGCGGACGGGUGAGUAACACGUGGAUAACCUACCUAUAAGACUGGGAUAACUUCGGGAAACCGGAGCUAAUACCGGAUAAUAUUUUGAACCGCAUGGUUCAAAAGUGAAAGACGGUCUUGCUGUCACUUAUAGAUGGAUCCGCGCUGCAUUAGCUAGUUGGUAAGGUAACGGCUUACCAAGGCAACGAUGCAUAGCCGACCUGAGAGGGUGAUCGGCCACACUGGAACUGAGACACGGUCCAGACUCCUACGGGAGGCAGCAGUAGGGAAUCUUCCGCAAUGGGCGAACGCCUGACGGAGCAACGCCGCGUGAGUGAUGAAGGUCUUCGGAUCGUAAAACUCUGUUAUUAGGGAAGAACAUAUGUGUAAGUAACUGUGCACAUCUUGACGGUACCUAAUCAGAAAGCCACGGCUAACUACG
Molecule: ribosomal RNA, 495 nt
Filed under: uncultured bacterium
Lineage: Bacteria
Description: partial 16S ribosomal RNA
Rfam family: Bacterial small subunit ribosomal RNA
Source: RNAcentral